This 287-nucleotide ribosomal RNA is filed under the name uncultured bacterium. RNAcentral's name for it is "partial 16S ribosomal RNA". It matches the Rfam family "Bacterial small subunit ribosomal RNA", at positions 28 to 317 of the family's 1533-position model. The record is from RNAcentral.
GACGAACGCUGGCGGCGUGCUUAACACAUGCAAGUCGAACGGAGUGUGUAGCAAUACUCACUAAGUGGCGAAUGGGUGAGUAACACGUAGGUGACCUGCCCUGAAGUGCGGAAUAACAGUCCGAAAGGAUUGCUAAUACCGCAUGUGGUCCCGGGCGUUAGAGAACCGGGUCUAAAGCAGUAAUGCGCUUCAGGAGGGGCCUGCGGUCCAUCAGCUAGUUGGUAGGGUAANGGCCUACCAAGGCAACGACGGAUAGGGGACCUGAGAGGGUGGCCCCCCACAUUGGC